Molecule: RNA transcript, 3839 nt
Organism: Pristis pectinata (smalltooth sawfish)
Lineage: Eukaryota; Metazoa; Chordata; Chondrichthyes; Rhinopristiformes; Pristidae
Gene name: YTH domain-containing family protein 1-like
Exons: 8
Source: RefSeq, a predicted model, not a curated record
UGGUCGCCAUUGGGUUAAACGUCUGAGAAAUCCGGACGAGGAGCCAAGUUGAAGCUGGGGGGAGGGGGGGGAGGAGGAGAAACGGCGGCCUCUGGUUACUGCUCCGGCCCGAGCCCAGCGCCCCCACACCGCUUGGGAUAGCGAGUCUGCAGCUGAGCGGGUGCAAGCGGUGAUUAAUGAAGCAUGUCUGCCACAAGCGUUGACCCUCAGAGAGCAAAAGGACAAGAGAAUAAAGUGCAAAAUGGUUCGCUGCAUCAAAAGGAUACAGUGCACGACAACGAUUUUGAGCCAUACCUAAGCAGCCAGUCUAAUCAAAAUAACAGCUAUCCUUCAAUGACUGAUCCAUAUCUGUCAAGUUAUUAUGCUCCUUCCAUUGGAUUUUCCUAUUCUCUUAGUGAAGCAGCACCGUGGUCCACUGGUGGUGAUCCUCCUAUUCCAUACUUAACAACCUAUGGACAGCUGAGCAAUGGAGACCAUCAUUUCAUGCAUGAUGCUGUCUUUGGUCAACCUGGGGGUCUAGGGAGCACUCCAUAUUUAAAUCAACAUAGGUUCAACUUUUUUCCUGAAAACCCCGGGUUUUCUGCAUGGGGGACAGGUGGGUCUCAGGGACAACAAACACCAAGCUCAGCAUAUGGCAGUAGCUAUAGUUACCCACCUAGUUCUUUGGGUGGUACAAUAGUUGAUGGACAGGCAGGGUUUCCGAAUGAUACUUUGAAUAAAGCUCCAGGCAUGAAUAGCAUUGAACAAGGGAUGGUUGGAUUAAAGAUAGGUGGCGCUGUGACAUCAUCAGGUGUGAAGACAGUGGGGUCUGUGGUAAAUAGCCCAGGUAUGACCAAUGCAGCAUCUGGAAAUGGCUCAACAGCAGGUGUAUCUGCUCCAAAGCCGACAUCAUGGGCUGCCAUUGCAAGUAAACCAGCCAAGCCUCAACCGAAACUAAAACCAAAGACUGGAGCGGCAGUGGGAAGUUCUACGUUGCCCCCACCUCCUAUAAAACACAAUAUGGAUAUUGGUACAUGGGACAAUAAAGGACCUGUACCAAAAGCUCCUCCACCUCAUCAGGUCCCUACUACUCAGGCAGUUCCUCAGCAGCAGUUGACUCAGCCCCCUCCACCUCAGCAGUUGCAGAUUCCACAGCAACCAUUUCAGAAUCCUCAGCAACCCCCACAGAAUCGUUGGAUUGCCCCUCGCAACAGAGGUGCAGCAUUUGGUCAAAACAAUGGAGCUGGUAAUGAAAACAACUCUCUGGGUAAUGUACCAGUUAGCUCUCCACCAAGCAAUGAGACUCAUCCUGUCCUUGAAAAACUGAAGGCUGCUUACAGCUACAAUCCAAAAGACUUUGACUGGAAUGUCAAAAAUGGUCGAGUGUUUAUUAUCAAGAGCUACUCUGAGGAUGACAUCCAUCGCUCCAUCAAGUACUCCAUUUGGUGCAGUACAGAACAUGGCAAUAAACGCUUGGACAGUGCGUAUCGCUCGAUGGCUGGCAAAGGUCCUGUUUACUUACUAUUCAGUGUAAAUGGCAGUGGACAUUUUUGUGGAGUGGCAGAAAUGAAAUCAGCAGUGGACUAUGGUACAUGUGCUGGGGUUUGGUCACAGGACAAGUGGAAAGGCAAAUUUGAUGUAAAGUGGAUCUUUGUAAAGGAUGUGCCUAAUAACCAGCUGAGGCAUAUCCGUUUGGAAAACAAUGAUAAUAAACCAGUCACUAACUCUCGAGACACACAGGAGGUUCCUUUAGAAAAAGCCAAGCAAGUGCUCAAAAUUAUUGCUACUUACAAGCACACCACCUCAAUUUUUGAUGACUUUUCACAUUACGAAAAGCGCCAGGAAGAGGAGGAAGUUGUACGUAAGGACAAGGUUUCUCUGCCAGUGGCUUCUCAUUAUUUACAAGCCACCGUUCCUAUGAAGGCACAGUCAUCCAAGCUCCAGGGAGAAUGAGCUGCAUCAGAACGGCUGCAUCUGUCCUCAUCCUCUUCAAGUUUUGCUCCAAAGACCUCUGAAAGGGAGGAUCUUCUAACGUCACAAAUCUUCCAUUUCUCAUAAAUCAUUCCAGUUGAGAGUUUCAGUGGGAGAAGUUCAGUGGGAAGAAGGUAACAGUUGGCUGUGCAGGAACGCCUGAAUCGAAACAAAUGAUAAGAAAACAUUUGACUUGAUGAAUUAUUAAAAAAAAGACUGAAAACCUGGUGCUGGGAUCCCAGCAUCAGAAUGAAAUAUCAAAGCUUUCUGCUCCAGUGAUAUCUUUAUGUGCAGGGGAAUUAAGCUAUAUCAUGUUUUUAAUACUCCUCUGUUUUUUUUAUUUUUUUUUUGGUUUUGCCCAGACUGGUCUGCAUUUUGUUUGUAAUUUUGCACCUAAAUGCUGUAGCAGUCACUGGUAACUUCUGUUACACUGAAGCUUUAGCUUGCAUUUGUUUAGCAAUCCUGUGAAGAUGAGCCCUUCGUGCUCCUUUUAUAGGAAAUAUUACUGCAUCAGCCUUCUGUUGUUUGGAUGAUGUGAUGCUUUCAACGUUACUAGUUUUUGGUGAUGUGCGUUAACUUUGAGCUUUUUUUUUCAAGCUGCUGUUAAUUUGCAUUCUUUCAUGAAAAUCCCAAGGCCAUUUUAUUUUUUCUUCUGUAAAGCUGAGCUUUAAUGUAGGAGCAAAUAGUGGAAAUGAUGGUUGAUGUCUCAAAAAAAUUAUAAAUUGAUGCAAACGUCUCUUGAUUCUUCGGAGACGAAAUAUUUUGAUUCUUUUUUUCUGUCCGAAAGCUGUACUUUGCUGUACUGUCUGUGAAAUGAGGGAACCAUUGAAAUUGCUGCCGACUGGAUAAAGCAUGAAACGGUGCUCAUGCCUGUUGCUUUAGUUCACAGAAACUUGCACGUGUUUAUUGUAGAGGAACUUUACUAUCAUUAGGAAGCAAACAAUUAACUCUUCUAAACUUAGUUAUAAAAAUGGACCUCAAUUUAAAGAAAUAAACUAUCAUUUAGACUUAUUUAGACAAUUUUAGUUAUGUCUAUGGAAUAUUGCCUGUAAGGUAAAUGAACAUCAUUGGGUUGAUUUUCUUUCCUCUAGGAGAAUACAAGCCUUAAUAAACAAUAUCUGUUUAGCAAGCACAAGUGAUUUCUUCUUCAUGGCUUCAUUCAAUUAUGUUCGGCUUUCUUUCCAUUCACGUUUGGAUAUACUGUGUUGUUAAAAAUGUGUAAUGAAUAACUAUGCAUGAAUUGCAUUGAAUUCUGAAUCUUCAAGUUUUGUAAAUUUCUCUUGAAAGAAAUGUCAAGUAACUAUGUAAACUAGUCAAGAACUUUGCAAUUGAUGGAUGGUGGUGGAGUUGGUCAGUUGGUAUUAUGGGUGUAUUACACCUGCACGGUACUGUUCAACUCCUUACUAUGUUCAGCAAUAACCUUCAAGGUGAACAGCCUUGGUGAAUAGUUAUGGAAUGUAUGGUUUAGAAAUGAUCAGUGUAUUGAAAUGCUGUUCUUUUCUUCCUCAUCAUUCAGUUAAAAAUUAUUAAUCCAAAAUUAGUUAAUGCAGCCCUCUGAUUAAAAUCAGAUUCACCUUUCUCUUUUCAAGAGCUCAUUAAAGCCUUAUUCUUUGACCAAGUUUAUUGUUUUCUUUGGUGCUAAAUUUUGUCUGAUAAUGCACUUUUGUUGUGUCAUGGGGUGUAUAUAUAAAUGUAUAUCUGAAGAUGAGGUGACUGACAGAAUUUGGUACCAUGAUUAAAGAUGUAUUCACACAUGAAAGGUUUUUUCCAAUUCACCAGGUUUACAAAACUUUAAUUAAAAGAAGUCAGCCAGUUUGAAUUAUAAGUGCAUGGAGUCUUUGAGUUGGCAGGCUCUAUGAGCUGCAUGGCACACUUGAGGGCUGAAUAUU